GUCCGAUUCAUCUGAAACUUUCAGGGCAGAUAGACCUUGACCUGAUAAACAAAUAAACCAGUGUCAGAUUUGCUCUAAAUGCUUUGGUUUUUGAGUUAUAAACCAAAAACUGCAUUUUACCCCUAUGUUCUAUUUUUAGCCAUGGCGGCCAUCUUGGUUGGAUGGCCGGGUCACCAGGACACAUUUUUUAAACUAGAUACCCAAAGAUGAUUGUGGCCAAGUUUGGAUUAAUUUGGCCCAGUAGUUUCAGAGUGGAAGAUUUUUGUAAAAGAUUACUAAGAUUUACGAAAAAUGGUUAAACAUUGAC
Molecule: long non-coding RNA, 307 nt
Filed under: Mytilus galloprovincialis (Mediterranean mussel)
Lineage: Eukaryota; Metazoa; Mollusca; Bivalvia; Mytilida; Mytilidae
Source: RNAcentral